Molecule: transfer RNA, 73 nt
Filed under: Camelus bactrianus (Bactrian camel)
Lineage: Eukaryota; Metazoa; Chordata; Mammalia; Artiodactyla; Camelidae
Also listed under: 2 other names
Rfam family: tRNA
About the family: Transfer RNA (tRNA) molecules are approximately 80 nucleotides in length. Their secondary structure includes four short double-helical elements and three loops (D, anti-codon, and T loops).
Source: Rfam by way of RNAcentral
GAGGGUGUAGCUCAAGUGGUAGAGCACAUGCCUAACAUACCCAAGGUCCUGGGUUCGAUCCCCAGCACCUCCC